Non-coding RNA from Arachis ipaensis, 398 nucleotides. The record is from RefSeq and is a predicted model, not a curated record. Lineage: Eukaryota; Viridiplantae; Streptophyta; Magnoliopsida; Fabales; Fabaceae.
AGAUGGGGAUGAUGUGGGAUCAUAAGAUGCUAACCUUUUGUUCAGUGGUCAUAAAGCAAGAAUCACCUGUAUGAGAUAUAGACUGCCUUAAUCGGAUAUACAUUCGGCGGCGGCAUGUUCGAGAUGAAUGAAGUGAAGGGUGGCAGUCCGUACAGUGCCCAAACUUAUGCUGCUGGUGAUGGAUCAAGACAACCAACUAAACUUGAGUUGGAGCAAGCAUUCCACCAAAGAAAGUAUAUUGCCACCAUCACUAAGAAGCUCAAGAAAGAAUGAAGCUAUCCAUAAAUUAAGAUAUUGAAUACUGAUGAGUCCACUAGUAGUUACUUGUCAUCUAAUGUAUUCAGUUUGUAUUAUUGCAUGGAAAUAAUUGCUUGUUAUUAUAAAGAAAGCGCUUUGUA